UUCCUUCGUUGUAAAACCGGCCGGUGGCGCUCCCCGCCCCGCGCCUUACUCCACCGCUCCCGCGCGGCUUCACAGCUCGGGGCAGACAGAUUGAGACAUCGGCGCCGGCGCACGUUUGCUUUGCUCAAAGCUCGCGACUAUACAUGUAGCCGGCGUGAUUUUAAAUUUAUUUAAUUCCUAAUACGUCUUAGUGCUCGUUUAGUACCAAGUAACGUUUGUAUUUAGUGUUUAAAUCCCCAAUUGGGGAGCCAUAUUACGGCUGGAACUACAGCCCAGGCCGGGUUACGACGGUUCCGGAACCUCUACACAAGUUCCGGCAGAUCCGGAGCGGAGCGGCUGACGUCCCUCGGCGCGUUCCGUCUUCAGCCCGCAACGACACCAGCAGCUUCAGGGGAGUACUUGCGUGGUGGACCUGACCUCGGAGCAAAAUCAGUAUCGGCCUUACGAACCCACACCUAACGACCUUUGUUCGUGUGCUCACGCGGAGUUACGGCGAGAAUAAACCAGUUCUUUAUUUUAA
Leguminivora glycinivorella is the source of this 520-nucleotide long non-coding RNA. RefSeq lists it as uncharacterized. NCBI's taxonomy places the organism in Eukaryota, Metazoa, Arthropoda, Insecta, Lepidoptera, Tortricidae. The record is from RefSeq and is a predicted model, not a curated record. The transcript has 2 exons.